GUGUUAGUAGAAAGGAGAGAUGGUUGGCAUCUCCCCCAACAGGGAUGGGAAUAGCCUUCGGGCUUUACCUGUUACCACACAUCCGGUUAAGGUUUCCCACUUCGAUGGAUCUUGCCCCAAAUUUUC
This 126-nucleotide non-coding RNA is filed under the name Solanum tuberosum (potato). The record is from RNAcentral. Lineage: Eukaryota; Viridiplantae; Streptophyta; Magnoliopsida; Solanales; Solanaceae.